Molecule: ribosomal RNA, 287 nt
Filed under: Ornithodoros coriaceus
Lineage: Eukaryota; Metazoa; Arthropoda; Arachnida; Ixodida; Argasidae
Description: partial 16S ribosomal RNA
Rfam family: Bacterial large subunit ribosomal RNA (bases 140-287)
Source: RNAcentral
UAAUUUAUAUUUUAAUUAAGAUUAUUAGAAAUUUAUUUUUUAGUUAUGAUUGGGGUGAUUUUUAAAGAUUAUUAAUCUUUAAAAUUUUUUAAUAAAAAAGUUCCAUGUAGUAGUGAUUUUUUGAUAAAAAUACUCUAGGGAUAACAGCGUUAUUAUUUUGGAUAGUUCAUAUAGAUAAAAUAGUUUGCGACCUCGAUGUUGGAUUAGGAUUCUUUUAUGAUGAAGAAGUUAUAAGGGAGAAGUUUGCUCAACUUUUAAAGUCCUACUUGAUCUGAGUUCAACCCGGG